Molecule: ribosomal RNA, 164 nt
Filed under: uncultured bacterium
Lineage: Bacteria
Description: partial 16S rRNA
Rfam family: Bacterial small subunit ribosomal RNA
Source: RNAcentral
UAGGGAAUCUUCCACAAUGGGCGCAAGCCUGAUGGAGCAACACCGCGUGAGUGAAGAAGGGUUUCGGCUCGUAAAGCUCUGUUGUUGGAGAAGAACGUGCGUGAGAGUAACUGUUCACGCAGUGACGGUAUCCAACCAGAAAGUCACGGCUAACUACGCGCCAG